This 433-nucleotide ribosomal RNA is filed under the name uncultured bacterium. RNAcentral describes it as "partial 16S ribosomal RNA". It matches the Rfam family "Bacterial small subunit ribosomal RNA", at positions 29 to 507 of the family's 1533-position model. The record is from RNAcentral.
AACGAACGCUGGCGGCAUGCCUAACACAUGCAAGUCGAACGAUUGCCUUCGGGUGAUAGUGGCGAACGGGUGCGUAACGCGUGGGAAUCUGCCCUUAGGUUCGGAAUAACAGCUGGAAACGGCUGCUAAUACCGGAUGAUAUCGCGAGAUCAAAGAUUUAUCGCCUGAGGAUGAGCCCGCGUUGGAUUAGGUAGUUGGUGGGGUAAAGGCCUACCAAGCCGACGAUCCAUAGCUGGUCUGAGAGGAUGAUCAGCCACUGGGACUGAGACACGGCCCAGACUCCUACGGAAGGCAGCAGUGGGGAAUAUUGGACAAUGGGCGCAAGCCUGAUCCAGCAAUGCCGCGUGAGUGAUGAAGUCCCUAGGGUUGUAAAGCUCUUUUACCCGGGAAGAUAAUGACUGUACCGGGAGAAUAAGCCCCGGCUAACUCCGUG